UCGAGUCUUUGAACGCAAGUUGCGCCCGAGGCCAAUCGGCCAAGGGCACGUCCGCCUGGGCGUCAAACGUUUCGUCGCAUCGCGCCUCCCCCGUCUCAUCGAAUGGUGUGACGGAUGGGAGUUCUGGAUGCGUAGAGUGGCCCAUGGUGCCCAUUUGGCGCG
This 162-nucleotide ribosomal RNA is filed under the name Phreatia tahitensis. RNAcentral describes it as "5.8S ribosomal RNA". Lineage: Eukaryota; Viridiplantae; Streptophyta; Magnoliopsida; Asparagales; Orchidaceae. The record is from RNAcentral.